RNAcentral lists this ribosomal RNA (197 nucleotides) under uncultured beta proteobacterium. RNAcentral describes it as "partial 16S ribosomal RNA". It matches the Rfam family "Bacterial small subunit ribosomal RNA", at positions 335 to 524 of the family's 1533-position model. The record is from RNAcentral. Lineage: Bacteria; Pseudomonadati; Pseudomonadota; Betaproteobacteria.
ACUCCUACGGGAGGCAGCAGUGGGGAAUCUUGGACAAUGGGGGAAACCCUGAUCCAGCGACGCCGCGUGGGUGAUGAAGGCCUUCGGGUUGUAAAGCUCUUUUGUCCGGAACGAAACGGAUGACGUGAAUAUCGUCGUCUACUGACGGUACCGGAAGAAUAAGCACCGGCUAACUACGUGCCAGCAGCCGCGGUAAU